UCCCUUCUAUCUCUCUCACUAUUGAGUAUUUACUAUUUACCAAAAUCCCAAAUUGAACCCUACCAGAGCAAACACCCAUUAGAAGCCCUAGCUACCACCUUCUUCAUCAUUGAUCUCCUUUCCUUGGCCACCGACGGGACAGACUGUGGGUCUCGUGUUCAAGCUCUCUCUCUCUCUCUCUCUCUGUGUCUUUGUCCAAGCUCAAGGUCCCUCUUCGGGCUCUCUUGCUGUCGCUGCUUCUUUGCUCCUCGCCGUGGGUCGUCGCUGCUCUACUCCUCACCGUGGGUCGUCGCUGUUCCACUCCUCACCGUUUUGGCUGUCGCCCCUUCUCUUCUCCUCUGAUUUUAGGUAACUCUGUCUCAGACUCUCCGAGCUCAUUCUGUCUUUGGCUCUUUGCCAUUCAUCUUUUUUCCAACUAAUUUUGAAGAUUCUGAGCUGAGUCUCUGUUCUGAGUUUGAAAUUGAAUUAUUUAUUUGUUUUGUUGAAUGUUAAACCAAAGCCGCUGGAAUUGUUGAAGACAAGAUAUUUGCACUCUGUCACAGCAAACUAUACUUAUAAUUUAAAAUCUUUCUUUCCCUGUUGUAAUGCUACCAAAAAAAAAUCCCAAUUGAUUUUUCUAAUGUUUUAUUUAUUUUGUUGAUGAACAGAUUGGAAUAGGGCUUAUGGUAUGCUAGCAAUUUGGUGGAAUCAAUGGAAUUUGUAACUGAAUUGAAUUGAAUUGAAUUUUGUCUUAUAUUUGAAAUUUGUAAUUGAAUUAAAAUUAGUUUAAAAAUAUUGAAUUUAAAUAUUUGAAAUUGAAUAUUAAUUUUUAAAUAAUUUUAAUGUAUAUUUAAUUAAAUCGGUUCGACUCCGGUUCGACUCCGAUUUAAUUCUGAUUAGACCGUUAAACUAUUAAACCAGUUAUUUGAUCGAUUCAAUGGCCGGUUCAGUUUUCGCAACCUAAAAAGUAAGAUAUAUUUAUGAAUUUAUUAGUAAUGAAUAUCUAAAAGAAACAAUUUAAGUGAUUAAUUUUUGUUAUUUCUGAUGUAUAUACAUCUUUAUAAUAAAUACUAUUUUGAUAUCAGUAUUUUUUUAAUAAUUAUAC
RNAcentral lists this long non-coding RNA (1084 nucleotides) under Arachis ipaensis. RNAcentral's name for it is "long non-coding RNA (AIPA_LNC000208)". Lineage: Eukaryota; Viridiplantae; Streptophyta; Magnoliopsida; Fabales; Fabaceae. The record is from RNAcentral.